Long non-coding RNA from Mesocricetus auratus (golden hamster), 330 nucleotides. RefSeq lists it as uncharacterized. Lineage: Eukaryota; Metazoa; Chordata; Mammalia; Rodentia; Cricetidae. The record is from RefSeq and is a predicted model, not a curated record. The transcript has 3 exons.
GCGCGCCAAAAUCCUGCGACCUGUACUGAGGGCCCUCGCGAGUCGUCUGCGCUCUGCAAACUCGUCUCCGCGUCUGACUUGCAUGCUAAUAUUUCAAGAUUGGCAAAGAACACACGACAUUGUGGAGAGGUGGUUAUUAUCAUCAGCCCCAUUUUACAGACAAUGAAAACGAAGGUGCUGCAAAUUCUUCAACGAGAACUACGCACUCCAUAUAUGCAUCCCCAGAGAACCUUUCAGGCUACUCAACAUGGAUAUCACAUUUUGUGGAAGAAGAUAUGAGGAUCCAGUUUUAUGUGAAAGACAUUAAACAGACUCACAAAAGUAAAGAAU